UACCAUUUGGAAACAGAUGCUAAUACCGGAUAAAAGACUACUUUCGCAUGAAAGAAGUUUAAAAGGACGGCGUAAGCUGUCGCUAAAGGGAUGGACCUGCGAUGCAUUAGCUAGUUGGUAAGGUAACAGCUUUACCAAGGCGAUGAUGCAUAGCCCGAGUUGAGAGACUGAUCGGCCACAUUGGGACUGAGACACGGCCCAAACUCCUACGGGAGGCAGCAGUAGGGAAUCUUCCACAAUGGACGAAAGUCUGAUGGAGCAACGCCGCGUGAGUGAAGAAGGUUUUCGGAUCGUAAAGCUCUGUUGUUGGUGAAGAAGGAUAGAGGUAGUAACUGGCCUUUAUUUGACGGUAAUCAACCAGAAAGUCACGGCUAACUACGUGCCAGCAGCCGCGGUAAU
Molecule: ribosomal RNA, 399 nt
Filed under: uncultured Lactobacillus sp.
Lineage: Bacteria; Bacillati; Bacillota; Bacilli; Lactobacillales; Lactobacillaceae
Description: bacterial SSU rRNA
Rfam family: Bacterial small subunit ribosomal RNA
Source: RNAcentral